RNAcentral lists this ribosomal RNA (710 nucleotides) under Salmonella enterica. RNAcentral describes it as "partial 23S ribosomal RNA". It matches the Rfam family "Bacterial large subunit ribosomal RNA", at positions 2233 to 2925 of the family's 2925-position model. The record is from RNAcentral. RNAcentral also lists the same sequence under 1 other name. Lineage: Bacteria; Pseudomonadati; Pseudomonadota; Gammaproteobacteria; Enterobacterales; Enterobacteriaceae.
CCGUGAUCCGGGUUGCGGACAGUGUCUGGUGGGUAGUUUGACUGGGGCGGUCUCCUCCUAAAGAGUAACGGAGGAGCACGAAGGUUGGCUAAUCCUGGUCGGACAUCAGGAGGUUAGUGCAAUGGCAUAAGCCAGCUUGACUGCGAGCGUGACGGCGCGAGCAGGUGCGAAAGCAGGUCAUAGUGAUCCGGUGGUUCUGAAUGGAAGGGCCAUCGCUCAACGGAUAAAAGGUACUCCGGGGAUAACAGGCUGAUACCGCCCAAGAGUUCAUAUCGACGGCGGUGUUUGGCACCUCGAUGUCGGCUCAUCACAUCCUGGGGCUGAAGUAGGUCCCAAGGGUAUGGCUGUUCGCCAUUUAAAGUGGUACGCGAGCUGGGUUUAGAACGUCGUGAGACAGUUCGGUCCCUAUCUGCCGUGGGCGCUGGAGAACUGAGGGGGGCUGCUCCUAGUACGAGAGGACCGGAGUGGACGCAUCACUGGUGUUCGGGUUGUCAUGCCAAUGGCACUGCCCGGUAGCUAAAUGCGGAAGAGAUAAGUGCUGAAAGCAUCUAAGCACGAAACUUGCCCCGAGAUGAGUUCUCCCUGAGACUUAGAGUCUCCUGAAGGAACGUUGAAGACGACGACGUUGAUAGGCCGGGUGUGUAAGCGCAGCGAUGCGUUGAGCUAACCGGUACUAAUGAACCGUGAGGCUUAACCUUACAACGCCGAAG